CAGUCGUGCCGGCGUUGGAUUCAGCUUGCUUCGCGGAGCAGGCGUAUUUCCGCGCAUGGCAGGUCAGCGUCAGUUUUGCGCGGCGUGAAAAGGCUCGGGUAAGGUAGCUCUCUUCGGGGAGUGUUAUAGACCUGGGCAGAUGCGCUGCGCGGGACUGAGGAUUGCAGCGGACACCUGUUCGAUAGCGUGCUAGCGGACGCGGGAGCGGCGGUGCACCGGAACAGGCAAGCCAGCGGUUCGCUAAGGAUGCUGACGU
Molecule: ribosomal RNA, 256 nt
Filed under: Paraglomus laccatum
Lineage: Eukaryota; Fungi; Glomeromycota; Glomeromycetes; Paraglomerales; Paraglomeraceae
Source: RNAcentral